RNAcentral lists this ribosomal RNA (484 nucleotides) under uncultured bacterium. Its description in RNAcentral is "partial 16S ribosomal RNA". It matches the Rfam family "Bacterial small subunit ribosomal RNA", at positions 30 to 507 of the family's 1533-position model. The record is from RNAcentral.
AUUGAACGCUGGCGGCAGGCCUAACACAUGCAAGUCGAGCGGAUGAAGGGAGCUUGCUCCUGGAUUCAGCGGCGGACGGGUGAGUAAUGCCUAGGAAUCUGCCUGGUAGUGGGGGAUAACGUCCGGAAACGGGCGCUAAUACCGCAUACGUCCUGAGGGAGCAAGUGGGGGAUCUUCGGACCUCACGCUCUCAGAUGAGCCUAGGUCGGUUUAGCUAGUUGGUGGGGUAAAGGCCUACCAAGGCGACGAUCCGUAACUGGUCUGAGAGGAUGGUCAGCCACCCUGGAACGGGAACAGGGUCCAGGCGCCUACGGGAGGCAGCAGUGGGGAAUAUUGGACAAUGGGCGAAAGCCUGAUCCAGCCAGGCCGCGUGUGUGAAGAAGGUCUUCGGAUUGUAAAGCACUUUAAGUUGGGAGGAAGGGCAGUAAGUUAAUACCUUGCUGUUUUGACGUUACCAACAGAUUAAGCACCGGCUAACUUCGUG